Molecule: ribosomal RNA, 1512 nt
Filed under: uncultured Bacillus sp.
Lineage: Bacteria; Bacillati; Bacillota; Bacilli; Caryophanales; Bacillaceae
Description: bacterial SSU rRNA
Rfam family: Bacterial small subunit ribosomal RNA
Source: RNAcentral
UGAGUUUGAUCAUGGCUCAGGACGAACGCUGGCGGCGUGCCUAAUACAUGCAAGUUGAGCGGACAGGUGGGAGCUUGCUCCCUGAUGUUAGCGGCGGACGGGUGAGUAACACGUGGGUAACCUGCCUGUAAGACUGGGAUAACUCCGGGAAACCGGGGCUAAUACCGGAUGGUUGUUUGAACCGCAUGGUUCAAACAUAAAAGGUGGCUUCGGCUACCACUUACAGAUGGACCCGCGGCGCAUUAGCUAGUUGGUGAGGUAACGGCUCACCAAGGCAACGAUGCGUAGCCGACCUGAGAGGGUGAUCGGCCACACUGGGACUGAGACACGGCCCAGACCCCUACGGGAGGCAGCAGUAGGGAAUCUUCCGCAAUGGACGAAAGUCUGACGGAGCAACGCCGCGUGAGUGAUGAAGGUUUUCGGAUCGUAAAGCUCUGUUGUUAGGGAAGAACAAGUACCGUUCGAACAGGGCGGUACCUUGACGGUACCUAACCAGAAAGCCACGGCUAACUACGUGCCAGCAGCCGCGGUAAUACGUAGGUGGCAAGCGUUUUCCGGAAUUAUUGGGCGUAAAGGGCUCGCAGGCGGUUUCUUAAGUCUGAUGUGAAAGCCCCCGGCUCAACCGGGGAGGGUCAUUGGAAACUGGGGAACUUGAGUGCAGAAGAGGAGAGUGGAAUUCCACGUGUAGCGGUGAAAUGCGUAGAGAUGUGGAGGAACACCAGUGGCGAAGGCGACUCUCUGGUCUGUAACUGACGCUGAGGAGCGAAAGCGUGGGGAGCGAACAGGAUUAGAUACCCUGGUAGUCCACGCCGUAAACGAUGAGUGCUAAGUGUUAGGGGGUUUCCGCCCCUUAGUGCUGCAGCUAACGCAUUAAGCACUCCGCCUGGGGAGUACGGUCGCAAGACUGAAACUCAAAGGAAUUGACGGGGGCCCGCACAAGCGGUGGAGCAUGUGGUUUAAUUCGAAGCAACGCGAAGAACCUUACCAGGUCUUGACAUCCUCUGACAAUCCUAGAGAUAGGACGUCCCCUUCGGGGGCAGAGUGACAGGUGGUGCAUGGUUGUCGUCAGCUCGUGCCGUGAGAUGUUGGGUUAAGUCCCGCAACGAGCGCAACCCUUGAUCUUAGUUGCCAGCAUUCAGUUGGGCACUCUAAGGUGACUGCCGGUGACAAACCGGAGGAAGGUGGGGAUGACGUCAAAUCAUCAUGCCCCUUAUGACCUGGGCUACACACGUGCUACAAUGGACAGAACAAAGGGCAGCGAAACCGCGAGGUUAAGCCAAUCCCACAAAUCUGUUCUCAGUUCGGAUCGCAGUCUGCAACUCGACUGCGUGAAGCUGGAAUCGCUAGUAAUCGCGGAUCAGCAUGCCGCGGUGAAUACGUUCCCGGGCCUUGUACACACCGCCCGUCACACCACGAGAGUUUGUAACACCCGAAGUCGGUGAGGUAACCUUUUAGGAGCCAGCCGCCGAAGGUGGGACAGAUGAUUGGGGUGAAGUCGUAACAAGGUAUCCA